GCCGGGAUGGCGGAAUUGGUUUACGCGCGUCACUUAAGAUGACGUGACCGAAAGGUCGUGUGGGUUCGACCCCCACUCCCGGCA
Molecule: transfer RNA, 84 nt
Filed under: Candidatus Kaiserbacteria bacterium RIFCSPLOWO2_01_FULL_54_13
Lineage: Bacteria; Candidatus Kaiseribacteriota
Description: tRNA-Leu
Rfam family: tRNA
About the family: Transfer RNA (tRNA) molecules are approximately 80 nucleotides in length. Their secondary structure includes four short double-helical elements and three loops (D, anti-codon, and T loops).
Source: RNAcentral